UCCUUCUGCCCGAGAGAAAUUCUACAGCCC
This 30-nucleotide non-coding RNA is filed under the name Rattus norvegicus (Norway rat). Lineage: Eukaryota; Metazoa; Chordata; Mammalia; Rodentia; Muridae. The record is from RNAcentral.